Molecule: unclassified non-coding RNA, 210 nt
Filed under: Ascomycota sp.
Lineage: Eukaryota; Fungi; Ascomycota
Description: partial contains small subunit ribosomal RNA, internal transcribed spacer 1, and 5.8S ribosomal RNA
Source: RNAcentral
AAAGUCGUAACCAGGUCUCCGUUGGUGAACCAGCGGAGGGAUCACUACCGAGUUCUUACUUAAAACCCUGCGAACCUACCUUUUCAUGCUUCGGCGGCCGGCCCCGGGGGGGCGUCAAACGGUCGCCGACAGUAUUUAAAAUCUCUAUCAGUGUAUUCUGAGUCACCAAAAAACAAAUCAAAACCUUCAACAACGGAUCUCUUGGUUCUG